UACGAAGGGGGCUAGCGUUGCUCGGAAUCACUGGGCGUAAAGGGCGCGUAGGCGGAUCUUUAAGUCGGGGGUGAAAGCCCAGGGCUCAACCCUGGAAUUGCCUUCGAUACUGAAGAUCUCGAGACCGGAAGAGGUAAGUGGAACUGCGAGUGUAGAGGUGAAAUUCGUAGAUAUUCGCAAGAACACCAGUGGCGAAGGCGGCUCACUGGUCCGGUUCUGACGCUGAGGCGCGAAAGCGUGGGGGAGCAAACAGG
This 254-nucleotide ribosomal RNA is filed under the name uncultured bacterium. Its description in RNAcentral is "partial 16S ribosomal RNA". It matches the Rfam family "Bacterial small subunit ribosomal RNA", at positions 524 to 776 of the family's 1533-position model. The record is from RNAcentral.